Molecule: ribosomal RNA, 253 nt
Filed under: uncultured bacterium
Lineage: Bacteria
Description: partial 16S ribosomal RNA
Rfam family: Bacterial small subunit ribosomal RNA
Source: RNAcentral
UACGAAGGGGGCGAGCGUUGUUCGGAGUUACUGGGCGUAAAGGGCGCGCAGGCGGCUCUGAAAGUCAGAUGUGAAAGCCCCGGGCUUAACCUGGGAAUUGCAUUUGAUACUCUGGAGCUUGAGUACGGGAGAGGAGAGUGGAAUUCCCAGUGUAGAGGUGAAAUUCGUAGAUAUUGGGAAGAACACCGGUGGCGAAGGCGGUCUGCUGGGCCAAGACUGACGCUGAGGCGCGACAGCGUGGGGAGCAAACAGG